AAUCUUCCACAAUGGCCGAAAGCCUGAUGCAGCAACGCCGCGUGAGUGAAGAAGGUUCUCGGAUCGUAAAACUCUGUUGUAAUGGAAGAACAAGUACAGCAGUAACUGGCUGUACCUUGACGGUCCCCUAUUAGUAAGCCACGGCUAACUCCUUUCCAGCAGCCGCGGUAAUACGUAGGUGGCAAGCGUUGUCCGGAAUUAUUGGGCGUAAAGCGCGCGCAGGCGGUCCUUUAAGUCUGAUGUGAAAGCCCACGGCUCAACCGUGGAGGGUCAUUGGAAACUGGGGGACUGGAGUGCAGAAGAGGAAAGUGGAAUUCCAAGUGUAGCGGUGAAAUGCGUAGAGAUUUGGAGGAACACCAGUGGCGAAGGCGACUUUCUGGUCUGUAACUGACGCUGAGGCGCGAAAGCGUGGGGAGCAAACAGG
RNAcentral lists this ribosomal RNA (424 nucleotides) under uncultured bacterium. RNAcentral describes it as "partial 16S ribosomal RNA". It matches the Rfam family "Bacterial small subunit ribosomal RNA", at positions 360 to 776 of the family's 1533-position model. The record is from RNAcentral.